UUUUCCCAAGACUCAUACUGCAGGUCCGAAUAAGACGUUUUCCCGACAAAGAGAUACUACAUACUAAUGGCUAAGAUGCCAAGUUCAUCGAAGCUCCUUGCGGUGAUGAUUUUCUCAUUCAUGGCGCUUUUCAUAAUAUCCCAGGCUCGAACCCUUUCUCCUGGUAGGAAAUUAACUCAGUACCCGGCUCCGUCGUACGGACCGUACACUCCUGUUCCUCCUGGAUGUUUUAAUCCACCUGGCUGUCGUCCAUGAGAGUUUAAAUUUGGUUCACAUGAACUAUUAUCAAAUAAAAUAAGGUGAUGUAUUAUGUAUAUGGGUUAUGGGUAUCUUCAUAUAUUAUCAUGAUUUUCUGGGGAAUAAAAUGCUUGUGAGAUCCAUGUUAUAAAUACAGUAUGUUGCAGUUUGUAAUGGAUAAGUGAUAUUUAUGUUUCUUUUGUAUGGUCA
Long non-coding RNA from Brassica oleracea var. oleracea, 447 nucleotides. RefSeq lists it as uncharacterized. The transcript is spliced from 2 exons. The record is from RefSeq and is a predicted model, not a curated record. Lineage: Eukaryota; Viridiplantae; Streptophyta; Magnoliopsida; Brassicales; Brassicaceae.